Molecule: ribosomal RNA, 218 nt
Filed under: Ligilactobacillus aviarius
Lineage: Bacteria; Bacillati; Bacillota; Bacilli; Lactobacillales; Lactobacillaceae
Description: partial 23S ribosomal RNA
Rfam family: Bacterial large subunit ribosomal RNA
Source: RNAcentral
CGUGACUAACUGCGAUAAGCUUCGGUAAGCUGUAAGUAAGCAAUGACCCGGAGAUUUCCGAAUGGGGAAACCCAAAACCGUGAGGUUUUAUCGCUAAGUGAAUUCAUAGCUUAGUUGAAGGAAGACGCGGGGAACUGAAACAUCUAAGUACCCGCAGGAAGAGAAAGAAAUUCGAUUCCCAUAGUAGCGGCGAGCGAAGUGGGAACAGCCCAAACCAA